AGCAGCCGCGGUGAUUCCAGCUCCAAUAGCGUAUAUUAAAGUUGUUGCAGUUAAAAAGCUCGUAGUUGAAUUUCGGGAUCAAUAUGUUGGUCGUGCCUUGGUACGUACUGGCGUCAUUGGUUUCUACCUUCUGAAGAACCUCGAUGUCGUUAAUUUGGUGUCUUGGGGAAUCAGGACUGUUACUUUGAAAAAAAUUAGAGUGUUUAAAGCAAGCUCACGCUUGAAUACAUUAGCAUGGAAUAAUGAAAUAGGACGUUUGAUUCUAUUUUGUUGGUUUCUAGGAUCGACGUAAUGAUUAAUAGGGAUAGUUGGGGGCAUUAGUAUUCAAUUGUCAGAGGUGAAAUUCUUGGAUUUAUUGAAGACUAACUACUGCGAAAGCAUUUGCCAAGGAUGUUUUCAUUAAUCAAGAACGAAAGUUAGGGGAUCGAAGACGAUCAGAUACCGUCGUAGUCUUAACCAUAAACUAAUGCCGACUAGGGAUCGGAUGAUGUUUAAUUUUUUAAAUGACUCAUUCGGCGCC
Molecule: ribosomal RNA, 520 nt
Filed under: uncultured Glomus
Lineage: Eukaryota; Fungi; Glomeromycota; Glomeromycetes; Glomerales; Glomeraceae
Description: SSU rRNA
Rfam family: Eukaryotic small subunit ribosomal RNA
Source: RNAcentral